Molecule: long non-coding RNA, 462 nt
Organism: Spea bombifrons (plains spadefoot toad)
Lineage: Eukaryota; Metazoa; Chordata; Amphibia; Anura; Pelobatidae
Exons: 3
Source: RefSeq, a predicted model, not a curated record
GGCGAAACGCGUAGAGAAUACGUUUAUUCAAACAUUUUAAUCUUUUUUAACUCUUUGUACCGGACCAGCAGUGGACUCUGUGAGGACCAAACGACAUUUUGGAACUGUUCUACAGGGUUAUUGCCUUUGCGCUUAACCCAAAUAGUCGAUCUCAGCAAUGAACCCCAAACUGCUUUGCGUUUACUUUUUAUUUCUGAUUAUUGCAACGCUUUAUGCCGAAGAACAAUCAGAAGAAAAUGGUGGAAAUUUUGGACAGCAAAAUCAGCCAAAUUUGCCAACCCUGAAAGAAGUACAAUCGAUUUGCAGGAAAUGUAAAGCUUCCAAUUUCUCUCAUUUUAUAUCAUGCCGAAUAUGUCAAAUAGCGACGGAAAAACUAAAUUUACCACGGAAAAGUAAUUCAGAAGGAAGUAUUCCACAACGGUGAAGAAAAAACCCACUCUGAUAAAUUACUGACGUUUAAUG